CAUACCAAAAAUACAAUACAGCUUGAGAACAAUAUUAUAAAAAUAUAAUUUUUCAACAAUGCUUGAGAAACACUUAUGUUCCACAAACUUUUCUCAAAUCUGUCCUUUUUUGACAAAUUAGUUUUGAUUUUUUGUGAAAAAUGUCAGCAAAAAAAUAUUUUCUUUGGUAAAAAACAAAAUCACGCGAAUUUGGGACCCAUUUCUGGACCGAACUCUUAAGAUUGAAAGCAUAAAAAAAGUUUCAGGAAUUCAAUAGAUGUGUAGUCUUAUUGAAAGAGAUGCAGAAGCUCAAAUAAGGGAAAAGAAAGCGUCAGGGUAUCAAGGCCACAUGAGGCAGUGACUACUGGGAUGUCUAUCAAAAAAAAAGAUUAAAAAUUAAAAUAA
Musca domestica (house fly) is the source of this 384-nucleotide long non-coding RNA. RefSeq lists it as uncharacterized. NCBI's taxonomy places the organism in Eukaryota, Metazoa, Arthropoda, Insecta, Diptera, Muscidae. The record is from RefSeq and is a predicted model, not a curated record. The transcript is spliced from 2 exons.